AUGACGAAAGUAGAGGUGCAAGUGGAGCAAUGGCAAGAACAUGGGAUCCAAGUGAUGGUGCUACUGAGCUUCGCGAUGCAGCUAGUGCUUCUCGUCCUGGCGGAGUUUCGUCGGCGCAUAGACUCUGGUGUGCUAAGGGCGGUGAUUUGGUCAGCUUACAUGUUGGCCGACUCAAUAGCGAUAUACAUCUUGGGACACUUGUCCGUGACAAGCAGGUCAGAGGACCACGAGUUGAUGGCGUUUUGGGCACCAUUUCUGCUAUUGCACCUUGGCGGGCAGGACAACAUCACUGCAUACGCUAUCGAGGACAACCGGCUCUGGCUACGGCACCUACAAACGCUCGUCGUGCAGGUCGCUGCGGCUACCUACAUCCUCUAUGAGUCCAUCGUCGUCAGCAACCACACCCUGCUCCGGAAUGCUGCCGUCCUGAUGUUCGUGUUGGGCGUUGUCAAGUAUGGGGAGAGGGUGUGGGCUAUCAAGUGUGCUGACACUAGAGCAUCGGGCAGCAGCUACAAGUUCUACGAGACAGGAGAAUUUAUUAAAACUAAACCUCCAAUAGAACGGCCGGACACAGAGGGCUUGUUGCAGAUAGCCCACCUCUUGUUGGAUGUUCCAAAGGAUCUCUUUCAGGGGCCAUUGACCAACGUAAUGGUGAUACACCAGGACGUCAUCAUCCCCACAAAUGAGCUGUACAAGGUGGUGGAGAUGCAGCUCAGCCUAAUGCACGACGUUGUGUACAGCAAGGCGGGGGUGAUUCACACAUGGUAUGGCAUUUGCAUUCGCUUCAUUUCUCCAGUUUUCGCCACCGCCACAUUCAUUCUAUUCCAUAGGUCGGCCUUGUCGAUGGGUGAUCCACACUAUAGCAGAGCAGAUGUUGCCAUCACGUAUGUCCUGUUAGGUGGGGCUGUUACAUUGGAGAUAAUAUCAGUGCUGAGGGUCGUGUUCUCGAGAUGGCUAAGUGUGAUACUAGGGAAGUCAGCCUAUGACUUCAUGGGAAAAGAAAGGCCCAUGUGGGGUUUCCUUGCUCGUGCAGUCACAUCUGUUCGGCGAUUCCUCCUUCCAGAGAGAAACUGGUCGAGAUGGUGGUGGUCAUGCUCUAUGGGGCAACAUAACCUGUUGAACUUGUGUGUUGGCAGCAGGGCCAGUCGACGAAGCAGGAUCGCGGGCUGGAUGGGGCUUGAGGACCGGUGGAAUACAAUGGUCUACUCACGCUCCAUCCCUGUCUCCACAACUAUCAAGGAACUAGUGAUGAAACAAGUGCAAGGGAGUAGUCCAGGCAAGAGCACUGGGCGGUCCCCCGCCAAGUUGACAGAUGAGAAGCCAGACAACAUCAUCAAUUCGCAAGGGCGGGCAGCCUUAAAGAAGUGGGAUUCGUACGACAGACUAGGCAAGUUCGUGUAUAUGGAGUUGGAUGAGAGUAUCCUCGUGUGGCACAUCGCCACCGAUAUCUACCUACGUUGGUACAAAGAUCAGACGCAAGCUGCUGAAGAUGAUGUGUGUCAACUGGCCAAGGCAACGGAGGCGAUUUCCAAUUACAUGGUUUUCCUCCUCGCGGCACGCCCCUACAUGUUGCCGGACUCUGUCGGCCGCACUAGGUAUGUUAAUGUGUGCUUCGGUCUCACCGCCCUCAAGUACAAGACAAUCUAUGAUUUAACCAGCUUACUAACAUCGCCGCAUGAGGAUGGGUACAUUGGGUUGCAAAACAUAAAAAAUAAUCAUGGAAUUGGAAUAGGAAGAUUCUUUAAAGACAACACAACAGUGAAGGCGGCACAGGAGCUUGCUCGUGAGCUGAUCUCUCCGAAGUCUGGCAUACCUACCGAGCGGGGGAUGCUCGCGGAAGUGUGGGUCGAGAUGAUGUGCUAUGCGGGGUAUAGAUGCAGCGGAUAUUCUCAUGCGAAGCAGUUGAGCAACGGUGGCGAACUCCUCACCGUUGUUGCCCUUGUGGUGGAGUACUAUAGAAGAGGAAUCCUGAAACCUUUGAGUAGUGCAAAAAAGGAGGAGGAGGAAGGAAGGCCAGCAGUCAACCAUGAUGUUGCUGGUAACCUGGAGGCGACGAUAGAGAUCGUCCUGCAACCUACUAGCAUUGAACCGAUGUCCCCAUCUCCCUCUCGCUCUCCUGAGGAACCCCGGAGCCUCUCUUAUGAGUCCAAGGAUGAGAUAUCCCCGGUCUGA
RNAcentral lists this ribosomal RNA (2172 nucleotides) under Triticum aestivum (bread wheat). RNAcentral describes it as "partial small subunit ribosomal RNA". Lineage: Eukaryota; Viridiplantae; Streptophyta; Magnoliopsida; Poales; Poaceae. The record is from RNAcentral.